AUGAACCUCUUAAGUUGGAACUGUCGGGGAGGGGGGAAUACCCGCACAGUUCGUGAAUUAGCGACGUUGACACAGUCGCAUUCCCCCGCUUUUGUGUUUUUUUGUGAGACUAGACAAAAGGAAGCAAAGAUGAAGAAGAUACGUGGUCGACUAGGAUUAAAGGGAUUUGCGUGUGUUGAUAGUAAUGGAAUGAGCGGCGGCCUAGCUCUCUAUUGGCAUGAGGCCUGCUUAGUGGAAAUUGUUGACACGGAUGAGCGCUAUAUUGAUGCUUUGGUUCGGAUGCAUGAGGCUGCUCCACAGUGGCGAAUAAUCUGUGUGUAUGGUGAGCCCCGAACUGAAAAUCGUCACCUCAUGUGGGCAAAGUUACAGAACCUCAAAAACACUAGCGACCUGCCAUGGCUAGUGAUCGGGGAUUUUAAUUGA
Molecule: ribosomal RNA, 423 nt
Filed under: Triticum aestivum (bread wheat)
Lineage: Eukaryota; Viridiplantae; Streptophyta; Magnoliopsida; Poales; Poaceae
Description: partial small subunit ribosomal RNA
Source: RNAcentral